This 1928-nucleotide transfer RNA is filed under the name Equus asinus (donkey). RNAcentral's name for it is "lncRNA (ENSEASG00005027198.1)". The stretch from base 500 to 592 matches the Rfam family "tRNA". Lineage: Eukaryota; Metazoa; Chordata; Mammalia; Perissodactyla; Equidae. The record is from RNAcentral.
GGCUGCGUCCUCCCGCUUCCUGGACCCGCGGCGGCAUCUGCGGCCGGAGAGCCGAGGCCGCCCCGCCCGGCCCCACCCUCCGGCCCGCGGCACCCCCGCAGCGAAGCCCGCCCGCUGGCCGCCGCCCGGUCCCUGGGCCAGGCCCCCUCCUCGCGGGGCCCGCGCCCGGGAGGCGAAGCUCCACGGAGGACGCGGAGGCGGCUGCAGACGGGGCGGCCGGGGCUGCCCCUCCCGCGCUGCCGGGGAGGCGGGCUGCGUUUUCUCCAAGGCUCCAGUGGCCCGCCUGUCACGGCCCUGCCAGCCGGAUCCCCAUCCCCGAGGAGACCGCGCAGGAUGCCCGGGCUCACUCGGCAUGGGCCGCCGGGCUGGAAGCUGUAGGAGGCUGGAGGCCGGAGCUCGUUCCCGCCGAGCCCGGAGCCACGGGUGCGCAUGCUCCGCGAAGGCCCGCACCGGGCCUGCGUGAACCCUGAUAGAACCAUCGCGAGGCCGGCUAAGCGGAGCUCCAGUGGCGCAAUCGGUUAGCGCGCGGUACUUAUACAGCAGUACAUGCAGAGCAAUGCCGAGGUUGUGAGUUCGAGCCUCACCUGGAGCACGUCCCUUUUGGGUAAUACACUCACGUGUUCAAAAUUCAAAGCGUUAAAAAUAAACAACCUUUCCUGUUCAAUAUGUAAACAAACAACCUCAUGCUCCCGACAGAAAAGCAGCAAGGACAUGAAAAGGCAAUUUGUGGAAAAAAAUGUGUUAAGAAUGUCACCCUUAGUGUUAUAAAAACUCUUCCGCUGAGACCUGCUUGCCUGUCAUUUUGAGAUGUUUUUGAUGCACAGAAGUUUCAACUUUACUAAGCCGUAUUUUUCCCUGAAUGAUCUCUUCGCUGCCUGGAAAGCCAUUGCUCAUCCUGAGACGGAGCCGAGGACUGGUGUAGCUACCUGAGGGUGCAGCUCUGGGAUGCCAGUUGGCCUCAGUCCCCAGCCCCUGCUCUGAACCAUCUGGCAGUUAUUCAUGGCAGGACAAGCAGGCCAAGGGGCACCAGCCUCUGGAAGUGGACCGUCCUUCUGGAGAAGAGGGCCUGGAGACCCACCCUGAGAAACAACACAACUCCAUAGAACCCAUCAGACUACAAAGAGAAAGCAGCAGUCUUCGAAAUAUCAGAGCAGCAUCACAGAAAAAUGAGUCCGCCCUUGAUACUGACUGUCUCUGAGUUCUCUGUGGUUGCACCAUGUAUAUUUAUUGAGCUGGCACAGCAGGAUUGGAAGCCAACCUGGUUCCUGAAUGACACUGAGCACAUUAGUGUAUAUGUCAAGGCUCUUGAACUCCAUGUAUCCGUGGCAAGCUGCCGUCUCAGAGGAUGAGCCAUCAGACAUUGCCACAGGGAAGGGGUGGGAAGUGGUCAUCCUCGGGACUCCAAGCUGACUUUUUUGACCUCGUUAUGGAGAUGACGGGCUGGACUAACUGCGGGAUGGAGUGCUUGUGCAGACCAGAUCACGGAGGAUGGAAGCUGUGGUGUGAGUGACUCUGGCUCCUAGUGACAGCGCUGGAGGGACAGGACAGAGAGCUGCCCUCAGACCUCGGGGCGCCAUCCCCCGUGACCUCGCUGCCCCCUCCCUCUCCCCAGCGAGUGCAAACACAGCUGGUCACGGACUUUUGCUGCGGGAGGUGUUUUCCCCGAGCUGAUAGGAUCAACCUGUUCUUUACCUCAAACCUGUUUUUAAAAGGACUUUCCUGUUUUUUUUUUCUUUCUUUAAUUGCAGAAUAUUUUUAUAACAUACUUUGAACAGAAGAAACAGAACCUAGCAAAACAGUUAUUAAAGAGCUGUAAAAUGCUUUCCUCACACUUGCCUUCUUAUUUCUUCCUCCUUUGGGUGGGUCGGGCUGUAGGUUGGGGCUGCGGUGGGUGAACCUAAGUGACCAAGCUACAAAUUAGUGACAAG